This 501-nucleotide long non-coding RNA is filed under the name Drosophila guanche. The record is from RNAcentral. Lineage: Eukaryota; Metazoa; Arthropoda; Insecta; Diptera; Drosophilidae.
UAGGAAAGCAAACAAGAGAACGAAGGCUCCGAAAUGUAGGCAGCAGGAAAGUCGAUUGCGGGGUGGGGCUGGGAGGUAGGUUUUUGUCUUCGUGUUUUUGUCAUGCAUAUUUAUUAACCUUCAAAGAACAGCCGCAAGGAUGGGGUAACCUUACUGCUGGUAACCUUCGCCAAGAACACCUCCUCCUGCCCUGGUGGGUGGGUUCUGGCUGUGACUGCUGCCAACACCUCCAGACGCCUGCUGUGUGCGCCUGCUGCUGCCAUGACCGGUGGCAACCUUCGCCUCUUUCAACGGUCUCCGACGGCAGCCUCGACCCAUAAAUACGAAAGACAGGGUGUACCCACACUGCCCGUUUCGAGGGUGCGCUGUUAUCCCGGGAGGGAGAUUGGAUCGAUUGCCAGAAGAAAAUAAUACAAGGUGCGGGUAUGCUUUGUGUUAUUUUAUAUAAUUUACGAGAAUUCUUCAGUCAGUUAUUAUACAAGUUAAAGCGGAAAGAUGGCC